RNAcentral lists this unclassified non-coding RNA (520 nucleotides) under uncultured Paraglomus. RNAcentral's name for it is "SSU rRNA". It matches the Rfam family "Eukaryotic small subunit ribosomal RNA", at positions 569 to 1095 of the family's 1831-position model. Lineage: Eukaryota; Fungi; Glomeromycota; Glomeromycetes; Paraglomerales; Paraglomeraceae. The record is from RNAcentral.
AGCAGCCGCGGUAAUUCCAGCUCCAAUAGCGUAUAUUAAGGUUGUUGUGGUUAAAAAGCUCGUAGUAGAACCUUGGGCCUGGCUGGCCGGUCCGCCUCACCGCGUGCACUGGUCCGGCCGGGCCUUUCCCUCUGUGGAACCGCAUGCCCUUCACUGGGUGUGCCGGGGAAACAGGACUUUUACUUUGAAAAAUUAGAGUGCUCCAGGCAGGCCUAUGCUCGAAUACAUUAGCAUGGAAUAAUAGAAUAGGACGUGUGGUUCUAUUUUGUUGGUUUCUAGGACCGCCGUAAUGAUUAAUAGGGACAGUCGGGGGCAUCAGUAUUCAAUUGUCAGAGGUGAAAUUCUUGGAUUUAUUGAAGACUAACUACUGCGAAAGCAUUUGCCAAGGAUGUUUUCAUUUAUCAGGAACGAAAGUUAGGGGAUCGAAGACGAAUCAGAUACCGUCGUAGUCUUAACCAUAAACUAUGCCGACUAGGGAUCGGACGAUGUUAUUUUUUGACUCGUUCGGCACCUUACGGGA